CACGCUGUAAACGAUGAGUACUAGGUGUCGGGGGUUACCCCCCUCGGUGCCGCAGCUAACGCAUUAAGUACUCCGCCUGGGAAGUACGCUCGCAAGAGGGAAACUCAAAGGAAUUGACGGGGACCCGAACAAGUAGCGGAGCAUGUGGUUUAAUUCGAAGCAACGCGAAGAACCUUACCUAAGCUUGACAUCCCAAUGAUAUCUCCUUAAUCGGAGAGUUCCCUUC
Molecule: ribosomal RNA, 226 nt
Filed under: Clostridioides difficile
Lineage: Bacteria; Bacillati; Bacillota; Clostridia; Peptostreptococcales; Peptostreptococcaceae
Description: partial 16S ribosomal RNA
Rfam family: Bacterial small subunit ribosomal RNA
Source: RNAcentral